AUCGAAAAGCAAGAAGUAGACAGCGACUAACAUUUAUAGAAGGAAAAACUUUAAAUAUCAUCCCUAUGAUUUCAUACUUUCUUAUUUUAGUACUAUAUGGUUUAAAGUAUAUCAAUUUAGUGUCAUGUGAUUUUAUUUUUAUCUUUUUUUAUCAAUUUCACAAUUUUUUUCGUUAAAUCAGUGACAAAGUUAAAGCUAAAGAUACUAAAGUAAAUAUUCGAUAAAGUUAGAUGGAGUAAAUAAAGUUUUUUUGUAUAUAAUUUAACGAAAUAUUAUCAAAGAAGUUAACGAAAAGAUAAAAAUAAAAUCACAUGACACUAACUUGAUACACUUUAAACAUAGAGUAUUAAAGUGAGAAAGAGUGAAACCACAAGAGUGGUAUCUGAAGUUUACCCUUUAUAGAACUCAGGCAAAUAUAUAUAUUAAAAAAAAGUUAACAAUUAAAAAAUUCAUAAAUUUUGAUUCAAUAAUUAUUAAAUUAUAUUUAACUCAAACAUCUAGCCUGAGUUAAUGGUCUAAAUCAAUUUUACGUAUGAUAAUAAAAUUAAUUUUUUAAAUAAUAAAAAAUUUA
This 571-nucleotide long non-coding RNA is filed under the name Ananas comosus (pineapple). RNAcentral's name for it is "long non-coding RNA (ACOM_LNC011287)". The record is from RNAcentral. Lineage: Eukaryota; Viridiplantae; Streptophyta; Magnoliopsida; Poales; Bromeliaceae.